Elaeis guineensis (African oil palm) is the source of this 775-nucleotide long non-coding RNA. RefSeq lists it as uncharacterized. The record is from RefSeq and is a predicted model, not a curated record. Lineage: Eukaryota; Viridiplantae; Streptophyta; Magnoliopsida; Arecales; Arecaceae.
AAUUGAGUUCAGAUCAUUCUGGGUCAACCUGUCUAAUCUGAAAAUGAUCCAGUUUUACCUAUUUGUUGUCCAACCAAACCACCACACGUUAUUUGAAGUAUCGUUUUUAGCAUGGUCUGAUGAGAAAGGAAAUUUGGCAUUUAUUGAUUCAUAUUAUAUCCAGCUAUGCCUAUUGAUUUGACGAGAAAGGAAAUUUGGCAUUUAUAACCGCCACCCAACUGUGCCCCCGAUCCCUCGUCCCCCAACCCAUCGACUAUCCCACCGCCUCCCCUUCCACCUUUUGGACCAACUUCUUCCUUGUCCGCAAUGUCAACGGAUGGCUCCAUGGUUCUAGAUAUCCUCCGCAGCAUUCCUGCCCUUUUCGACCCCUCCUUCGCUGCCGGCUUCUUUUGCAAUGCCGCCUACGAUACCUUCCUUUACGUCGUAUUCAUUGUCUACACCAACCGCGGCGUCGAGAUCACCAACCCCAUGAUAGGAUCCCCAUAGACCGUGUGGUCUGCCAAUUGGGACCGUCCCGUAUGCGAGAUCGCCAUCCUCCAUUUCACCGAAGAUGGGAACUUGAUCCUUCGAGAUGCUGAUAGUACCGUUGUCUGGUCCACCCACACAUUAGGCCGAUCCAUCUUGGAUGUUGAGGGAGGGGCAGAGGCUGAUAGCCAACAUCUUCAACAUGAAUUGGAUUGGAGGUUAUAGCUGCAGCUCAAGCUGGAAGGCACAAUGAGAAAAGAGAGAACUAUGGCGAUUCUCUGAUUAUUGAUCCAUGGGGAACAAUAAUAGC